CUCCUGCUCUGCUGUUCAUGCUCCAGCACCUUCCUACCCCCGUGCAUUUAACCCCACUCAGCCUUGGUGGCCUUGUCUGUGGGAGAGAUGAUACCACCAGCCCUGCAGGGCUUUUGUGAGGUGGAAAAUGCCCUUACAGCGCUGCAGGACUGGGGGUGCUCCCAGACCCCGAAUGGGAAGAGGUGGGAGACUGUGUGUUAGGGGUGGCUGGGACAACGGGAAGAUGGACAAUAGUUCCUGCUCCUGGAGCCCAGAAGCCUUAGUCUUCUCAUCCCUGCUCCUUCCAUCAGACUUCCUCUGAAGCCUCGGGGGCAGGGGCAGAGGACGAGCUUGAGAAGGAGGGUCAGUGCAGUUAAGCUGGAGCUCUUGACAUUUUAAGAGCAGAAAAGAAUUCUGGAAAAAACUGGGACAGGAGCCAGGCUCGGCGAUGGGUGGAGUGAAAUCCGAUGGUAUCUACUGUGUGCAAGGCUGUGUGCCAAGUGCUAGGGAUAGAAGGUAAAUAGAGCCCUGGUUCCUGUCUAUACACCUGCUGGGACAGAUGGACAGGACAACACAUCAGUGAGCAUGCCCGUCUAGGGCAUCUGCGCCAGGGAACCUGCGGACCCGGCCGACCUGUCAGGUACCUACUGCAUUUGGAAACAAACCAUCUUCUGGCCGACUGGGGAGCCCAGUGAGGGUGCUAAAUAUCCCCCAGUGACUUAAGUCCUCUCCACUUAAGACAGUUCACCUGCUCCUGGCCUCUGCGAUUUCUGUUUUCUUUCUGAAAUGGCCGUGUGGCCAGGAAAUCUAUGUGUGUCACUCCGCCUGCUCCUAGCUCUUCCAACUUCAUCGACCAAGAACUGUUCCCAUGGGGUGGAAGUUCCAAACUGGCUUCUUAAAGAGACUUCUAAUUUCUUCCAAACUAAAUGAUAAAUCAACGAAGAAAACACAGGCCACCUUGCAAACCUCUUUGGGCUGCAGGUGCACUUCUGAGAGGAGUAAGGAGGAGUUUCUCCCCAGGAAGGGCCUGCCAAAAGAAGAGCAGUGUUCUGGGGUGGUGGUUCUUAAACGCUAGCAUGAGAAGGCACGGACUGCUGCCCCCUCUCCCCGCCCCCCCAGAGUUUCUGAUUCAAGAGGGCCAGGGUGGGGCUGGAGAAUUUGCAUUUCCAGCAAGCUGCCAGAAGAUGCUGAUGCUUCUAGUCCAAGAACCACUGUUCAAGGCAAAAGGGACAGACAGCAAAGCCUUGAGACAGCAAAGAGCUUGGUGCAUUCAAGGACUAGAAAGGAGUCUGGCGUGGCUGCAGGGUAAAGAACAAGGGACUGAAAAGGGAGGCAGGGGCCGUGUCAUGCAAUAAGAACACACACACACACAAUUUUUGAAGGGAACUGUGUAGGGAGGUUAAUGACCUGAUUUACUUUUGCAUUUGUUAUUUUAUUAGAUUCUCUUCACAGUUACCACACUGUGAGCUCUGUGC
Molecule: long non-coding RNA, 1454 nt
Filed under: Equus caballus (horse)
Lineage: Eukaryota; Metazoa; Chordata; Mammalia; Perissodactyla; Equidae
Description: lncRNA (ENSECAG00000040230.2)
Source: RNAcentral